RNAcentral lists this ribosomal RNA (496 nucleotides) under uncultured bacterium. RNAcentral describes it as "partial 16S ribosomal RNA". It matches the Rfam family "Bacterial small subunit ribosomal RNA", at positions 29 to 507 of the family's 1533-position model. The record is from RNAcentral.
AUGAACGCUGGCGGCGUGCCUAAUACAUGCAAGUCGAGCGAACAGACGAGGAGCUUGCUCCUCUGACGUUAGCGGCGGACGGGUGAGUAACCCGUGGAUAACCUACCUAUAAGACUGGGAUAACUUCGGGAAACCGGAGCUAAUACCGGAUAAUAUAUUUAACCGCAUGGUUCAAUAGUGAAAGACGGUUUUGCUGUCACUUAUAGAUGGAUCCGCGCCGCAUUAGCUAGUUGGUAAGGUAACGGCUUACCAAGGCAACGAUGCGUAGCCGACCUGAGAGGGUGAUCGGCCACACUGGAACUGAGACACGGUCCAGACUCCUACGGGAGGCAGCAGUAGGGAAUCUUCCGCAAUGGGCGAAAGCCUGACGGAGCAACGCCGCGUGAGUGAUGAAGGUCUUCGGAUCGUAAAACUCUGUUAUUAGGGAAGAACAAAUGUGUAAGUAACUAUGCACGUCUUGACGGUACCUAAUCAGAAAGCCACGGCUAACUACGUG